This 23-nucleotide non-coding RNA is filed under the name Mus musculus (house mouse). Lineage: Eukaryota; Metazoa; Chordata; Mammalia; Rodentia; Muridae. The record is from RNAcentral.
UGCACUGGAAGGUAAUGGCUGAC